CCUACGGGUGGCAGCAGUGAGGAAUAUUGGUCAAUGGACGAGAGUCUGAACCAGCCAAGUAGCGUGAAGGAUGACUGCCCUAUGGGUUGUAAACUUCUUUUAUAUGGGAAUAAAACGUUCCACGUGUGGGAUUUUGUAUGUACCAUAUGAAUAAGGAUCGGCUAACUCCGUGCCAGCAGCCGCGUUAAUACGGAGGAUCCGAGCGUUAUCCGGAUUUAUUGGGUUUAAAGGGAGCGUAGGUGGAUUGUUAAGUCAGUUGUGAAAGUUUGCGGCUCAACCGUAAAAUUGCAGUUGAAACUGGCAGUCUUGAGUACAGUAGAGGUGGGCGGAAUUCGUGGUGUAGCGGUGAAAUGCUUAGAUAUCACGAAGAACUCCGAUUGCGAAGGCAGUUCACUGGACUGCAACUGACACUGAGGCUCGAAAGUGUGGGUAUCAAACAGGAUUAGAUACCCCAGUAGUC
RNAcentral lists this ribosomal RNA (460 nucleotides) under uncultured bacterium. RNAcentral's name for it is "partial 16S ribosomal RNA". It matches the Rfam family "Bacterial small subunit ribosomal RNA", at positions 338 to 795 of the family's 1533-position model. The record is from RNAcentral.